GACGAACGCUGGCGGCGUGCUUAACACAUGCAAGUCGAACGCAGUGGCGAACGGGUGAGUAAUACGUGGGUAACCUGCCCUCCUUUUUGGGAUAAGCCUUGGAAACGGGGUCUAAUACCGAAUAAAGGGGGAUGGGCUCGCGGCCUAUCAGCUUGUUGGUGGGGUGAUGGCCUACCAAGGCGGUGACGGGUAGCCGGCCUGAGAGGGUGGACGGCCACAUUGGGACUGAGAGACGGCCCGGACUCCUACGGGAGGCAGCAGUGGGGAAUAUUGCGCAAUGGGCGGAAGCCUGAUGCAGCGACGCCGCGUGGGGGAUGACGGCCUUCGGGUUGUAAACUCCUUUCACCAUCGACGCGGUAGAUGGAGAAGAAGCACCGGCUAACUACGUGCCAGCAGCCGCGGUAAUUC
Molecule: ribosomal RNA, 408 nt
Filed under: uncultured bacterium
Lineage: Bacteria
Description: partial 16S ribosomal RNA
Rfam family: Bacterial small subunit ribosomal RNA
Source: RNAcentral